ACUGUCUGUGACAUCAGAGAGGUUCUUCGUGUCUCACUGCAUUCAAACUGUACCUCAGUAGGAGGUGUAAAUCCAUUAACUAUACUGUGUGGGGUACAGAGGACAUCUUGCUUACACACUAUUCUUCAGCAGGGACAGCUAGAGAAGCCAGCUGUGUUUCACUUGAGUAGUUCUUAUGGGCAGGUGAAACUUCAUGCAGGCAUUUUGCAUGAACUUGUUGAAGUGAUUCUCCCCCUCUCCUCUGCUCUGGUGAGACCCCAGCUAGAGUACUGCAUCCAGACCUGGGACCUCCAGCAGAAGAAGGACAUGGACUUGUUGGAGUAAAUCCAGAGGAGGCCCACAAGAAGGUCCUCUCUCAUGAGGAAAGGCUGAGAUGCCAUGGACUCUAGAUCAGCCCAAACGGAUUAAAAUGAAGACUGCAGCUGACUGUGAUGGGUUUAUGCUGAAAUUCCUUCAUUUUGAAGCUGGUGCUUGCUAUGAGAGAGGUGAAGAGUGGUGAAUGUGAAAAGGAAGACAAGUGAUAUAAGUUUUUGGUUGACCUUUGAAUCCUACUUGUAGUGAAUUUCUAUUGGCCUAAAGCCAGCAAACACAGAAGUCCUGUAAAGCCUUGGAAUGCUGCAUUCUGUUUUCUUCACUUGACCUGUGCUUGCAUUCAGCUUUGAAGUGGACUGGAUGAGCUCUUGACCAUGUAGACUCUCCUUUGAGGACAGAUGUACCUGUGAAGCCAGCAAAGAAACACCACUUUGGCUGAGCUUCCUUUGAUGUCCACUUGCAAGAGCAAUGAGACUACCAAGGGACCUUGCUUACAAAAAUCCUAACACCUUUUUUUUUUAGCUGUGAACAUACCACAUUUCUUGCUCUACACUCGGAAAUUCCACAAAGGCCCUGGAAGAGGAGGCUGGCCUGAGCAACAAGUCGCUCAUUAGUAUCUCCUCAUGCACAGUUAUAGCAGCCAGAAAGCACUUCCAUGUUGGGGUUCCCAUGCUGUUCUGUGGAACACACAAGAGCAGGAUUCUCCCAGUGAUCACCUCCACAGCAGUAAACCCAUGGCUACAGAGAAACUCCAUAUCUCCUGAGUGAAUGCUUAAUACUUGUUUGCAUGUUACAUAUAAAAGAGCAGGGUUCUUUCUCUGUCAGCACCAUCAUGGUGAAAGGACAGCACAGGAAGAAGGACAGCAGCAUACCUCAUGCCAUCCCAUCUGAGGGGGUUUCUGCAGCUGGAAAGAAAUUCACUAUUUUCCUCAGUGAUUUACUACCUCAGGGAGGCUCAUUACAUCUCAAUGUGCAAGGAAAAUGCCAAAAUGUAUGCGCUAUCAAUAUUAUAUAACCUGCUCCAGAGAUCACAGCACGAGAUUAUCUCCCAGUCAAGGACUUCAGUCAAAGUGUUCAGAGAAUAAAAAAGCAAGGCAGAUGCUGCUGUUGAGAAGUUUUCAAAAGAAUCAUAAAAGCAUGAUCAGACCUCAAAGAUCAAUCUGAUGACAUGCUAUAACAUUCGGUCGACACUCUUUAAUCAGAAAUGCUGAGAACAACCCUGAAUAUCAGUUCACCUACAGAAUUCAAAUAACUUUGAUCACCUUUAGAAGCCAAGAAGACUUGAAAAUAAUCAGAACUUCAAAGAACUGAUCACUGAUCACAGAUAUAUACUGUAUGCAGUCUAAUGUCUUUCAGUGCUCCUCUACUUUGAAACAACAAAAAGCAGUCAGCUUUUCUACUGGAGAUAUGAUCUAGAAAUUCUAAAAAGUUACAGUGUUACAUGGGAACAGAAAUUGCUCUCCUAAAGCCCAUUCUUAUGGCAAAUACCAUAGAAUCAAACAAUAAGAAAACAGUGUCUGUUAUCACAAAAUAUUCCUGUUAUCAUAGAAUCCAAAAAAUGGUCUGUUGCCAGCUUUGAGUUCUGGCUGUAGAGUGGCUUGCACGUGAAGAAUUUGGCAAAGGUCAAACAACUGCCAGCUACAUUUCACAAAAAGUUCCAAGCUUUGUUCAAGCAUGGCUUUCAAUGAAAGAAGAGUGACAAUGAGAUGAGAGUCUUUAAUAAAACCAAACUGAAAACUUUUCUUGAAACCUCCUUCUGGGACUUUUCUUGUCCUUGGGAAGGAUUUUUGCAUAACAGUUAAAGGACUUCAGACCAAAGGGAAAGAAGCCUGUUCUUCAGUGAUUGUGUCAUGGAGGCGCCCGUAGCAGUACACCAUGACCAUCACGGGGACAGCCAAGCAGAAGAUGAAGAGACAGAUGAUGUAGGACGUGGACUCCGCCGACUCUGAGGACCAGCGUACUGAACAGCUUGUGCCUGCGCCUUCUACCCCAUAACUGCUCCAACCAAGCAGAGGUGGCACGGUCCAGACCAAGGAAUAAAUCCAAGAACCACCAACUGCCAGCAGAGCCUUGCCGAAAUCAUCACUGCGCUUGUGGCACAGGCACCCCACACGAAGGGAAGACGUGGGAUGGGCCUGGCAGCCAGUGUGGCUUGCACAGUGCUGGCGGGGACCACAGGAUCAGCAGUGAAAGACAGAGCGAUACCUUGACUGCGGAACCUGGACGAGAUCAAGGCUUUGAUCAGCCUUUCAGUGCUGCAGAACUCUAUAAAAAAUGUUUGAAUUUAUAAAGCUUCAGAACAAACGAACCUACGAACACCAAUUCUUUCCCAAAUCAGGAAAAAGGAAUGGGUAAAGACAUGUAGAGGAAGCAAUAUAGGACACUAAGGUCAGUGAAGAAAGAGUCAAAUGCUAGAUGGGAGGGGAUUGAGGAGAUGCCUUAGGAGAUGCUGAAAUUCUUUUGUAAGGCUAUGGUGAAGAUAUAAUUGAUACAUAAGACUGUUUUUCCCAGUAAUUCAUGGAAUGCAUUGGGGGAUGUAGUGUUCUAACUACAGCUGUGAGCAGAAAAGCUGGAGUUGAAAUAAUGUUGCAGUAGCUGUGAUUUCACUGAGAAGCUUGAAAACAGAUAAGAGAGAUAAGAAACAGUGCCCCAAGGACAGAAGAAGAAAUCCUGUGUUCCCAGUGAUAAAAGCUUUUCCCUGUGGAAAAGCUGCAAGGUAUGGGAGGGACUUUAACACUGGAAACAGAUUUUCCUUUCCCAGGCAUCUGAUUUGGUGUUACAGCAGGAAAUGAGUAAAUCAUUCUAGUGGGUCCACUGGAAUUUGACCAUCCCUAAACCCACCACACUAAUUGGUGCAUUGUCCAGAAAACUCAGACUGGUGAACCAAAAACCACUACAGUAACGCCACAGCAAGUCCACACAUGCCCCAGUGCCACUGCAGCCCACAUCCAGCCCAAACUCAGCUGCUGAGACAAAGACAGGGCAAAAUGCAGCUGAGAGCCUGGUACAAGGAAUAGAACCAGGAUGUACCUGGCUGUUCUGCUGCUGAGCCCCACUGCAGGAUGGUACAAGCUGAGCAUCCUUGGGGGUGCAUCUGACCAUCUGCCAGCCAUGUACAAAAUGCAGAGGGGAAACCAAGGGCAUAUGUAGUUCCCAUACGGCAUCUACAGGACCCUCUAAUUUCUCCAGAGGAGCCUGCCAGUGGCAGACAUUAACUAAGAGCAAUUCUCACCAUUGCUGCUUAAAUGUGUUGCCAAAUGAAGAGAAAAUGAUGAUGCUUCACACAUUCACAAGACUCCAUUUAUAUAUGUGUGUGUAUGUAAUACCCACUCCUGGGGGGCAGCUUUCACAUAAUAUCCAGGUGUGGUGAUUUAACACCACCCAGAAAUGAAUCUCUAAAUAAACCACUCCUUUUCCCCCCACCCUUCUUGUAAGAGAGGGACAAAGGACGGGACUAUAGGUUGAGAUAACAAUUUAUUGAAAGCAAACAGCAGUGGAAUAAGAAAAGUACAGUAAUAGCAGCAAUGUUAAUAAUAAAAGUAUACAAAAAGAGAAAGCGUUUUACACACAAGGAGCUGUUUGUUACCUCAGCUUAGUUCUGUGCGGCCACCAGGACAAAGUCCGGGUGGUGGCUGCUCCCAUGCCCAGCACCACAUGGUUUCUCCAGAUGAAGAAAAGCUGUUGGGCACUUCCUGCAGUCAGCACUCCUGUUCCCAAGACUGAGACAAUGAAAACCAUCAUGGACAAAUCCCCCAAAAGCUGGAUAAUCUGUGCUGUGAUGCCUGGUUUUUUUUUUGCAGAUCACUGUGCUCCACUGGUUCAAUUCCAUGUGGCAUGGCCAUUUUGAACUGUUCCACUCUGUCCCACCUGCUCCACUCUGCUCGUUUUGGCUCAGCUUGGCUUGGACCAGGCUCCCCUGCACCCCUCUGUUUCCCGCAGAUGCUUCCUGCACUAGUGCUGCUUUUCAGCCCAAUGUCUUGGAGCCAAGGCUGCCACUUUUUCAGAACCAUGUCUCCAAGCUAUGUCUUGGAGGAACUGGGAAGGGGACAGGCAGUGGCGACAAAGGACAGGGUCCACACAGUUGAUCCCAGAAAUCCCCCCCAGUGAAGAGUGAGACAAAAUGACACACUUCCAGAGGAGCACUCACCUUUUCUUUCCCCCAAAACCAUGCCUGCAAUGAUGAUGUGAGUGUUAUGGAAUAGCAACCUGGCCACAUCCAAAGAGUGCUGAGCUGCGCCCCCUCUCCACAGCCAGGACACCUGGGAAGCACAUCAUGCAGCUGGAAAUGCAAGAGGAAUGUGAACUAGCAGUUGGCAGGCUGUGAGCCACCAAAAGUUGCACCUUCUCUUUUGAAGUCAGGCCACUGUGCAGUGGUGAAUAGUGAACUCAGAGAGGCAGCAAGCAAGGAAGAGCACCAUGCUGGAAGGACAUUGGUAGAGGUGAAAGAGGCAUGCUCUGGUGUCCACUUACAAAUCCUGUGUUGGUAAACACCUAACAGGAGCAAUAGGGAGAAGAGAGGAGGGCGUGAGCUGCACAGCGCUUCAUCUCCAGCCCAGUGAUACUGUGCUGUAACCAAGGCAAAACCUUCUCUUAUCCCAAGAAGGUGUUAAAGUGCCUACCAGAGUGAAGUCUUUGAUUUCAGGAAUAACAUUCAAAGUAGGACAUUAGGCCUUCCAUUUUCACUUUUUUUCAAGGCAUGAUUCCUUCUUUAUCAUGUUUUCCAAAAUUUCUGCCCAAGUUGUCUUCUUGCUUUAAGCACGUAAAUUGAAUGCAAAAGUCCAGUACUCAAGCUCUACAAAUUACCUGCUGAAAGAGCUGACAGCAUUUUGCCUACAUUAUGAAUUUGGGAUUAUAAAAUUGGUAAG
This is a long non-coding RNA of Passer domesticus (house sparrow), 5177 nucleotides long. RefSeq lists it as uncharacterized. NCBI's taxonomy places the organism in Eukaryota, Metazoa, Chordata, Aves, Passeriformes, Passeridae. The record is from RefSeq and is a predicted model, not a curated record. The transcript is spliced from 18 exons.